CACUCGGAGCAGAGUGACUCCUCCACCCCCAGCCCCCCCCCGAGCUCCCCGAGCCCCCUGAGCAUCCUUCUACGCCUUGACUGACAACAGCGCCAGCCCACGGCCGACUGAGGUCCCAAUGUCAAGCUCUAGGCUGAAACUGCUUUAGGGGAGGGCAUCUGAGGGUUAUUUCGCUGCGGGACCUGUGGUUUUCCUUCUGCGUAACGCCGUGUGUGAGUUGCGUGCACGUACGAUCUACAGUUGCAGAGAACAUAACGACAACUCUUUUCUGUUCUUUUCCAUUUCCUAGAACUUGUUCGGACUCCGUUCUCCUGCCUGGGUUUUGAGGUAGGAAGCUCAUUCCCAAAUCAGCAGUGUCCAGUACAAACAAACGAGGAGAGGUUCAACUGAAAACAGUCUAGUGUUCUCUUUAAGAGCUGCGUGUGCUAGCAUACGCGUCCUAUCCGAGGCUGAACAUGCUCAGGGGCUAGUGAGGAUGGAGCCUUCCCUCCUCCUCAGCUAGGAGACCCCUUCUUUGCCGGGUAACACCAGUUUUAAGAAAGGGAAGCAUCACAGCGAUGCUACAGACAACUUGGAAGAACAGGACCGCACCCGAUGUAAUGCUAGCCGAAAAGGGAAAUGCUUGUGUUAUGCUUGCUUGGAGAUUUUAUUUCAUAUACUACAGUUUCUAAUGGGACAGUUAUCAUAUCCUCCUCCUCCCUGAGCUCUGCCUAAGGUGUGGCUAUGGGACUCUGCGUCUGCUCCUCAGUUGCCGGAUGAAGUCUCUCUGGGCUCUUUGAAGACAACUCUGCUAGGCUCCGGGCCCAGCACACUUCGCAGGCAGGACAGACUGCAGAUUCCCUCUCUAUUUAGUCUUGCAUGUGCUGGACCUCAGUCUGUAGACCAGCCUGGUUGUGAAAUCACUGAGACCAUCCAAGUUCUGGGAUGAAAGCCUACAUCUGUCUGCACAUUUAGAGACAUGGGCCCAGAAGUGCUUCAAGAACAUCUGAAAAAGUCUACAUCUACUCCAGCUCAUAGCACUGACCUAAGACAACAUCACAGUUUUAUGACCUCUGUGGGCAGAGCAUCUGAAACGCAUUGCAAGUGUUCUUG
Meriones unguiculatus (Mongolian gerbil) is the source of this 1092-nucleotide long non-coding RNA. RefSeq lists it as uncharacterized. The record is from RefSeq and is a predicted model, not a curated record. Lineage: Eukaryota; Metazoa; Chordata; Mammalia; Rodentia; Muridae. The transcript is spliced from 3 exons.